GUGUCAGUAGGGUGGUCGUGCCACCGGUACGUACUGGUCUCACUGAUUCCUCCUUCCUGAAGAACCGUAAUGCCAUUAAUUUGGUGUUGCGGGGAAACAGGACUGUUACUUUGAAAAAAUUAGAGUGUUUAAAGCAAGCUAACGCUUGAAUACAUUAGCAUGGAAUAAUGAAAUAGGACGUUCGAUCCUAUUUUGUUGGUUUCUAGGAUUGACGUA
Molecule: ribosomal RNA, 216 nt
Filed under: Glomeromycotina sp.
Lineage: Eukaryota; Fungi; Glomeromycota
Description: partial small subunit ribosomal RNA
Rfam family: Eukaryotic small subunit ribosomal RNA (bases 40-216)
Source: RNAcentral